Molecule: RNA transcript, 1159 nt
Organism: Musa acuminata subsp. malaccensis (wild Malaysian banana)
Lineage: Eukaryota; Viridiplantae; Streptophyta; Magnoliopsida; Zingiberales; Musaceae
Gene name: membrane-anchored ubiquitin-fold protein 3
Source: RefSeq, a predicted model, not a curated record
GCCGUCUUCUUUGGUCAAAGAGAAGCAGCCACCAAAAGCAGAAGCUCUUCCUUCUCCGUCUCCCUCCUCGUCUCCACCCCCGAGCAUCCCUCGCUCUCGAACUCCUAGCCGCAACUCUUAUCGUUUAACCUUUGCGAAUCCGUCGGUGGAUCUUGCGAUCGCGUCCCCUUCCCCGGUCCGAUACGUCUCCAGUCUCCGUCUCCGCUUGAAUUUCGCAUAAAGGGAGCAGAUGCCAGAGGAGGAUCUGGUGGAGCUGAGAUUUCGGCUCUAUGAUGGAUCCGACAUCGGUCCCAUCUGCUACUCUUCGUCUUCCACGGUUGCUAUGCUCAAAGAGAGGAUAAUAUCUGAAUGGCCAAGAGAUAAGAAGAUUAUCCCAAAAUUGGCUAAUGACGUCAAACUGAUAAGUGCGGGAAAAAUAUUGGAUAACAGCAAAACAAUCUCUCAGUGCAGACCAAGUUUUGGUGAACUCCCUGGAGGGGUUAUCACUAUGCAUGUUGUUGUGCAGCCGUCGUCUGCUAAAUCUAAAACAGAGAAGAACGUCGACGAGUUGCCAAAGAAAGCCUGUUCCUGUUCCAUAUUGUAGAGCAAUUAGCUUCAUCUAUUAGUUAGUCAGCUACAAUAGUAUUAUAUCCACCUGGGAGGAACAGGAAGAUGGCAGAACACUCAUGGCACAAGUUCUUUUCCUGGAUGAAGAUACCGAUGCUUCCCUCAUUCCAUCUCUGCUGUCGCAGGUUGGUGAGAUGGGAAAAGAGAGGUGACCCACAGAUAUAGCAGCUAUAGAUGGAGUGAAGUCCUCGUACCUUAGAAGGUGGAGAUUGCUAGCUAGCUUAUUUGUCAUUGAACAUUGUAGUUGAACAUUCAUCUUAGUUUAAUGGUUGUGAUGAGGCUUAAACAUGCUGAUUUAAAAAUAAAUAUUUUGUGAAUUUAAGUUUCUUUUUGUUAAUGUAUGUGUUGACAGGAGAUUUCUCCUUUAGUCACAAAAACAGGUGUCCUCUGAACUGACCUGAGGUGCCGAAUUAAGAUUUUUGUGUUUUGCGUCUACUUUUUUAAAACAAUUUCAAUGUGAUGGACUAUCCUAUCUAAUGUGUCGCUCCAUUGGGAAGAUACUCCUCUAUGUAUUCAUCAACUGUAACUAAAACUUUGCCAGGAUGAUUUUGAU